RNAcentral lists this ribosomal RNA (466 nucleotides) under uncultured bacterium. RNAcentral's name for it is "partial 16S ribosomal RNA". It matches the Rfam family "Bacterial small subunit ribosomal RNA", at positions 339 to 795 of the family's 1533-position model. The record is from RNAcentral.
CUACGGGAGGCAGCAGUGAGGAAUUUUGCGCAAUGGGGGAAACCCUGACGCAGCGACGCCGCGUGGAUGAUGAAGGCCUUAGGGUCGUAAAAUCCUGUCAGGUGGGAAGAAGUGGAUAUAGAUUAAUACUCUAUUUCUUUGACGGUACCACCAAAGGAAGCUCCGGCUAACUGCGUGCCAGCAGCCGCGGUAAUACGGAGGUGUGCAAACGUUGUUCGGAAUUACUGGGCGUAAAGCGCGCGUAGGCGGUUGGUUAAGUCAGAUGUGAAAGUCCAUGGCUCAACCAUGGAAGUGCAUUUGAAACUGGCAGACUUGAGUACUGGAGGGGGUGAUGGAAUUCCCGGUGUAGAGGUGAAAUUCGUAGAUAUCGGGAGGAAUACCGGUGGCGAAGGCGAUCACCUGGCCAGAUACUGACGCUGAGGUGCGAAAGCGUGGGGAGCAAACAGGAUUAGAUACCCGCGUAGUC